Molecule: ribosomal RNA, 301 nt
Filed under: uncultured bacterium
Lineage: Bacteria
Description: partial 16S ribosomal RNA
Rfam family: Bacterial small subunit ribosomal RNA
Source: RNAcentral
CAGUCGCCGCGGUAAUACGAAGGGUGCAAGCGUUAAUCGGAAUUACUGGGCGUAAAGCGUGCGUAGGUGGUGGUUUAAGUCCGUUGUGAAAGCCCUGGGCUCAACCUGGGAAUUGCAGUGGAUACUGGAUCACUAGAGUGUGGUAGAGGAUAGUGGAAUUUCCGGUGUAGCAGUGAAAUGCGUAGAGAUCGGAAGGAACAUCUGUGGCGAAGGCGACUAUCUGGGCCAACACUGACACUGAGGCACGAAAGCGUGGGGAGCAAACAGGAUUAGAUACCCCAGUAGUCCCUGUCUCUUAUAC